Cervus elaphus (red deer) is the source of this 1502-nucleotide long non-coding RNA. RefSeq lists it as uncharacterized. NCBI's taxonomy places the organism in Eukaryota, Metazoa, Chordata, Mammalia, Artiodactyla, Cervidae. The transcript has 3 exons. The record is from RefSeq and is a predicted model, not a curated record.
UCCAGUAUAAUCAAACCUUAUUUGCUACUUCAUUUGCAAAUGAUACCCCACUAUGGCUCAGAUGAGAAAGAACCUGCCUGCUAUGCAGGAAAUGCAGAUUUGACCCCUGGGUCAGGAAGAUCCCCUGGAGAAGGGAAUGACUACCCACUGCAGUAUUCUUGCUUGGAGAAUUGUGUGAACAGAGUAGCCUAGCAGGCUACAGUCCAUGGGGUGUCAAAGAGUCAGACUCCACUGGGAGACUAACACUUUCACCUCACCACUCCUUGAAAUUUUAGUUGACUUGGUUGUUUUGAAUAUUUUCAAUAGAUUUUAAUUUUAUACAGAGAAAUCCAUGGUUCUGUGCCUUUUGUGCUAUGAGGGUUCUAUUGUUCAAAUACUAAACAAAUUGUGUUCUGUAUAUAUAUUGUUUUUUGUUAACAACACAGUAGGUAGGCCUGAUGAAAAUAAGCCUGGCUAUAGAAAUGCUUAUUUGUUGGGAGGGUGCUUGUCUGGAUCAAUGAUGAGAAAAAUUGUCUGAGGAUGCUGAGGGACUCAUUCCAGAUGUCAAUCUGAGGUCCAGAUGAAUGCACCUCUAAUCAGACAAAUAAGAACCUCAUAGCUUGGCUUUGACUACAUAACACUGCUGUGAGCAUGCCUUUUCUUUCUUCCAGAGCAAGUCAUCCUAUUCUACAUUUUCAUGCCUCUUAUGAGGCAUGUAGAUAUGCUAAGUGACUUGCUUCAUUUUGGUCAUUUCGAACACAGUUGUAGAUAGAACUUUUUAAAGGAAUUGUUCUUGAGAAAUAAAUGGCGGGUGGGGGGGUGGCAAAUGUUGAAGUAGAAGUGGUUGAACAACUGUAAUGGGUACUGAAAGCAUCAUUUGUGGUUGAGCUGGAAGAAGGGAAGAUUGCAUGACUAUAAUAAAUUUUGACAAUGAAAUUUGACAGUAUUAGUGCUUUGUUAUUUUUAUUGUUGAAUAUUUUUGAGACUAUGUCUUUUUUUUCUUUUUGUUUGUUUUUGUUUUUUUCUGCUACACUUUUCUGAGGUAGAAGGACUGAAAUGAGGGCCUCUACUUCAGAGAAUAUGGGACGUGUCCGGAUCAAAGCCAUCUGCAGGGGUUUCAUGAAGUGCCACCUUUAUGACCUGACAGUCAGCCGGCUGAUUACCCUCACAGGAGAUCGUGCACUAGAUCCUGUCCAGUAGACCAGGCCUAGGCCCAUUCAGCCCAGGGAGCUCUUGGCUUGAAAAGGUGAAGUUGCCCGAUAUGACUGUCCGUCACCCGGGAGAUGAAGCCCCGCCCGUGAGACAGUGACUCGAGGUGCAGGGGAGUCUGGUGAGAAGUGUGGUGGGCCCACGUUCCUGCCACUGCUUUUGUGAUCACCGAACAUGGUACGCCGUUGCCUGCCCCAAGACAUGUCUUGGAUUUCAGGUUUUCUGGGACUGCCUGAGUGGCUGUACAUAUGGAGGGACCAUUCCUCUUGCUGAGAAGCCUGGGGGCUCUGAGUUCCCCCAGCUGCUGGAGGACU